This 305-nucleotide ribosomal RNA is filed under the name uncultured bacterium. Its description in RNAcentral is "bacterial SSU rRNA". It matches the Rfam family "Bacterial small subunit ribosomal RNA", at positions 335 to 654 of the family's 1533-position model. The record is from RNAcentral.
UGACCUACGGGGCGCAGCAGUGGGGAAUAUUGGACAAUGGGGGGAACCCUGAUCCAGCGACGCCGCGUGAGUGAAGAAGUAUUUUGGUAUGUAAAGCUCUAUCAGCAGGGAAGAAAGAAAUGACGGUACCUGACUAAGAAGCCCCGGCUAACUACGUGCCAGCAGCCGCGGUAGUACGUAGGGGGCAAGCGUUAUCCGGAUUUACUGGGUGUAAAGGGGGCGCAGACGGCAGCGCAAGCCAGGAGUGAAAGCCCGGGGCCCAACCCCGGGACUGCUCUUGGAACUGCGCGGCUGGAGUGCAGGAG